GCCCUUGUGGCUUAGUGGCUAGAGCGGCUGCCUCGUAAGCAGCAGGUCGUGGGUUCAACUCCCACCAAGGGCU
RNAcentral lists this transfer RNA (73 nucleotides) under Nanobdellota archaeon. Its description in RNAcentral is "tRNA-Thr". It matches the Rfam family "tRNA". Rfam says of the family: Transfer RNA (tRNA) molecules are approximately 80 nucleotides in length. Their secondary structure includes four short double-helical elements and three loops (D, anti-codon, and T loops). Further hydrogen bonds mediate the characteristic L-shaped molecular structure. tRNAs have two regions of fundamental functional importance: the anti-codon, which is responsible for specific mRNA codon recognition, and the 3' end, to which the tRNAs corresponding amino acid is attached (by aminoacyl-tRNA synthetases). tRNAs cope with the degeneracy of the genetic code in two manners: having more than one tRNA (with a specific anti-codon) for a particular amino acid; and 'wobble' base-pairing, i.e. permitting non-standard base-pairing at the 3rd anti-codon position. The record is from RNAcentral. Lineage: Archaea; Nanobdellati; Nanobdellota.